AGCUUUGCGCAGCGGCAGUAUCGUAGCCAAUGAGGUUUAUCUGAGGCAUGAUUAUUGCUAAUUGAAGUGAAGGAGGUUUGUUUGUUUGUUUGUUUGUUUAUUAUCUAUAUAGCUAUCUAGUAAAAGAGCAAAAGUUUCCUUUACAAGG
This is a small nuclear RNA of Lutra lutra (Eurasian river otter), 148 nucleotides long. RefSeq annotates it as U4 spliceosomal RNA. The transcript has a single exon. The record is from RefSeq and is a predicted model, not a curated record. Lineage: Eukaryota; Metazoa; Chordata; Mammalia; Carnivora; Mustelidae.